ACACGUAGGGAGCAAGCGUUGUCCGGAUUUAUUGGGCGUAAAGAGCUCGUAGGCGGUUUCGUAAGUCGGAUGUGAAAACUCAGGGCUCAACCCUGAGACGCCAUCUGAUACUGCGAUGACUAGAGUCCGGUAGAGGAGCAUGGAAUUCCUGGUGUAGCGGUGGAAUGCGCAGAUAUCAGGAGGAACACCAAUGGCGAAGGCAGUGCUCUGGGCCGGUACUGACGCUGAGGAGCGAAAGCAUGGGGAGCAAACAGGAUUAGAAACCCCGGUAGUCC
RNAcentral lists this ribosomal RNA (275 nucleotides) under uncultured bacterium. RNAcentral's name for it is "partial 16S ribosomal RNA". It matches the Rfam family "Bacterial small subunit ribosomal RNA", at positions 523 to 796 of the family's 1533-position model. The record is from RNAcentral.